This 492-nucleotide ribosomal RNA is filed under the name uncultured bacterium. Its description in RNAcentral is "partial 16S ribosomal RNA". It matches the Rfam family "Bacterial small subunit ribosomal RNA", at positions 29 to 507 of the family's 1533-position model. The record is from RNAcentral.
AGUGAACGCUGGCGGUAGGCCUAACACAUGCAAGUCGAACGGCAGCACAGUAAGAGCUUGCUCUUACGGGUGGCGAGUGGCGGACGGGUGAGGAAUACAUCGGAAUCUACUUUUUCGUGGGGGAUAACGAAGGGAAACUUACGCUAAUACCGCAUACGACCUACGGGUGAAAGCAGGGGAUCUUCGGACCUUGCGCGAUUGAAUGAGCCGAUGUCGGAUUAGCUAGUUGGCGGGGUAAGGGCCCACCAAGGCGACGAUCCGUAGCUGGUCUGAGAGGAUGAUCAGCCACACUGGAACUGAGACACGGUCCAGACUCCUACGGGAGGCAGCAGUGGGGAAUAUUGGACAAUGGGCGCAAGCCUGAUCCAGCCAUACCGCGUGGGUGAAGAAGGCCUUCGGGUUGUAAAGCCCUUUUGUUGGGAAAGAAAAGCAGCAGGUUAAUACCCCGCUGUUCUGACGGUACCCAAAGAAUAAGCACCGGCUAACUUCGUG